GAUGAACGCUGGCGGCGUGCCUAAUACAUGCAAGUCGAGCGAACAGACGAGGAGCUUGCUCCUCUGACGUUAGCGGCGGACGGGUGAGUAACACGUGGAUAACCUACCUAUAAGACUGGGAUAACUUCGGGAAUCCGGAGCUAAUACCGGAUAAUAUAUUGAACCGCAUGGUUCAAUAGUGAAAGACGGUUUUGCUGUCACUUAUAGAUGGAUCCGCGCCGCAUUAGCUAGUUGGUAAGGUAACGGCUUACCAAGGCAACGAUGCGUAGCCGACCUGAGAGGGUGAUCGGCCACACUGGAACUGAGACACGGUCCAGACUCCUACGGGAGGCAGCAGUAGGGAAUCUUCCGCAAUGGGCGAAAGCUUGACGGAGCAACGCCGCGUGAGUGAUGAAGGUCUUCGGAUCGUAAAACUCUGUUAUUAGGGAAGAACAGAUGUGUAAGUAACUAUGCACGUCUUGACGGUACCUAAUCAGAAAGCCACGGCUAACUACGUG
RNAcentral lists this ribosomal RNA (497 nucleotides) under uncultured bacterium. Its description in RNAcentral is "partial 16S ribosomal RNA". It matches the Rfam family "Bacterial small subunit ribosomal RNA", at positions 28 to 507 of the family's 1533-position model. The record is from RNAcentral.